UGUAACAUCCCAGUUUUCAUCACUAUUGAAAGAAAUGCAAAAGGAUCCUGAUUUUGUGCCUGAGGAAGGCGAGUAGUUCGUGCCCUAUACCCAAGUCUGGAGUGGUGCCGUCGCAGUAGAAGCCACCAUGACAGAUGAAGAGUUUACCCUCGCGUUUAUCACCGCUAUUGUUGUAUUCCUAGUUUAUGUUAUUAUUGUAAUCGAACGUAUUAAAUAAAGCUAUGUAUGACUGUGGCACCACUUGUGUAAUGUAUUUUCGCCAGAGACUGCUUUCUGGUGUUUAAAUACA
Molecule: long non-coding RNA, 289 nt
Organism: Panicum hallii
Lineage: Eukaryota; Viridiplantae; Streptophyta; Magnoliopsida; Poales; Poaceae
Exons: 2
Source: RefSeq, a predicted model, not a curated record